Molecule: ribosomal RNA, 253 nt
Filed under: uncultured bacterium
Lineage: Bacteria
Description: partial 16S ribosomal RNA
Rfam family: Bacterial small subunit ribosomal RNA
Source: RNAcentral
UACGUAGGGUGCGAGCGUUGUCCGGAAUUAUUGGGCGUAAAGAGCUCGUAGGCGGUUUGUCGCGUCUGCUGUGAAAUCCCGAGGCUCAACCUCGGGUCUGCAGUGGGUACGGGCAGACUGGAGUGCGGUAGGGGAGAAUGGAAUUCCUGGUGUAGCGGUGGAAUGCGCAGAUAUCAGGAGGAACACCGGUGGCGAAGGCGGGUCUCUGGGCCGAUACUGACGCUGAGGAGCGAAAGCGUGGGGAGCGAACAGG